CCUACGGGUGGCAGCAGUGAGGAAUAUUGGUCAAUGGACGAGAGUCUGAACCAGCCAAGUAGCGUGAAGGAUGACUGCCCUAUGGGUUGUAAACUUCUUUUAUAUGGGAAUAAAAUGUUCCACGUGUGGGAUUUUGUAUGUACCAUAUGAAUAAGGAUCGGCUAACUCCGUGCCAGCAGCCGCGGUAAUACGGAGGAUCCGAGCGUUAUCCGGUUUUAUUGGGUUUAAAGGGAGCGUAGGUGGAUUGUUAAGGCAGUUGUGAAAGUUUGCGGCUCAACCGUAAAAUUGCAGUUGAAACUGGCAGUCUUGAGUACAGUAGAGGUGGGCGGAAUUCGUGGUGUAGCGGUGAAAUGCUUAGAUAUCACGAAGAACUCCGAUUGCGAAGGCAGUUCACUGGACUGCAACUGACACUGAGGCUCGAAAGUGUGGGUAUCAAACAGGAUUAGAUACCCCUGUAGUC
RNAcentral lists this ribosomal RNA (460 nucleotides) under uncultured bacterium. RNAcentral's name for it is "partial 16S ribosomal RNA". It matches the Rfam family "Bacterial small subunit ribosomal RNA", at positions 338 to 795 of the family's 1533-position model. The record is from RNAcentral.